This 669-nucleotide long non-coding RNA is filed under the name Helianthus annuus (common sunflower). RNAcentral describes it as "sRNA HanXRQr2_Chr11g0494091". The record is from RNAcentral. Lineage: Eukaryota; Viridiplantae; Streptophyta; Magnoliopsida; Asterales; Asteraceae.
GAUGAAGAUUGAGAGAGGGGGCCGGCCACCGAUCCUUACCGUGGAUUCACGGUGCGCACAGGCAGUGACAUCACAACCUAGCUUGUAUACUACAACAACUCACUAACCGGAAUCGAGGGUUCUUCAGUUCUACCCAUGGCUCCUCUGCUUUUUUUUCUUCUUUUCACAUCAGUGCUUCGCCAGUGCUUUUCUUUUGCUGUCCAAGAGGGAUUUCAUAUUUCAUGAAGGUACUGAUUGAUGAAAAUCAAAAUCAUCCUCGCGUUUGAGGAAUAGAGGGAAUGACGAAGUACACCGGCCUUAAAGGAAGUCUGACUGCCGACUUCCGGGCGCGGUAGGCUUCUUACUUACAGUUUCUUUUACAUUCGUAUACAUUUGGUCAAAAUUAUCUACUUACAGAAAUACUUUUUUGGGAUUUAUGUUAUAUGUUAAUAUAUAUACAUACAUAUAUAUAUAUAUAUAUAUUUGAUUGAUAAAGAAGUUCAUCUAGGUGUGUUGUAAAUCUUUAAUCUUUAUGUUGGUGUGGUGAUCUUGAAUGCAUAUUGCAAAACUGAAUCUAAGACUUUUAUGGAUGGUGAUCUGUUAGUAAACAGAAAUGUUGUUAGAAUUGUUUCUCAAAGCCAAUAUGAUAUUGUGUACAAUGUUGGGUUUACUGGGAUUGUAAUGUUUUAG